GACGAACGCUGGCGGCGUGCCUAAUACAUGCAAGUUGAGCGAUGAAGAUUGGUGCUUGCACCAAUUUGAAGAGCAGCGAACGGGUGAGUAACGCGUGGGGAAUCUGCCUUUGAGCGGGGGACAACAUUUGGAAACGAAUGCUAAUACCGCAUAACAACUUUAAACAUAAGUUUUAAGUUUGAAAGAUGCAAUUGCAUCACUCAAAGAUGAUCCCGCGUUGUAUUAGCUAGUUGGUGAGGUAAAGGCUCACCAAGGCGGUGAUACAUAGCCGACCUGAGAGGGUGAUCGGCCACAUUGGGACUGAGACACGGCCCAAACCCCUACGGGAGGCAGCAGUAGGGAAUCUUCGGCAAUGGACGAAAGUCUGACCGAGCAACGCCGCGUGAGUGAAGAAGGGUGUCGGAUCGUAAAACUCGGUUGGUAGAGAAGAACGUUGGUGAGAGUGGAAAGCUCAUCAAGUGACGGUAACUACCCAGAAAGGGACGGCUAACUACGUG
RNAcentral lists this ribosomal RNA (497 nucleotides) under uncultured bacterium. RNAcentral describes it as "partial 16S ribosomal RNA". It matches the Rfam family "Bacterial small subunit ribosomal RNA", at positions 28 to 507 of the family's 1533-position model. The record is from RNAcentral.